UACGUAGGGUGCAGGCGUUAAUCGGAAUUACUGGGCGUAAAGCGUGCGCAGGCGGCCUCUUAAGUCAGAUGUGAAAUCCCCGGGCUUAACCUGGGAACUGCGUUUGAAACUGGGAGGCUUGAGCGUGGAAGAGGGGGGUGGAAUUCCAGGUGUAGCAGUGAAAUGCGUAGAGAUCUGGAGGAACACCGAUGGCGAAGGCAGCCCCCUGGGCUAACACUGACGCUCAUGCACGAAAGCGUGGGGAGCAAACAGG
Molecule: ribosomal RNA, 253 nt
Filed under: uncultured bacterium
Lineage: Bacteria
Description: partial 16S ribosomal RNA
Rfam family: Bacterial small subunit ribosomal RNA
Source: RNAcentral